CAACACUUCCACCCAGUUUGUUUUAGUUUGUUGGUAUUUAUCGGUGGAGCAGCAGCACAUUUUCCACAGACAGUUUUACUGUCCGUUGUCUUGUUUUAAUCAGUUUUCAGUUCAGUAAUUCAGUCCUUCGGCUGAUUGGACCAACAGACACUGAAGGACUCCGACAGCUGAGUGAAAGUAGCAGUUCCUCCUGAAGGUCAGAGAUUGCAGCAUCUGAGGGCCUCUUCAAAAGAAGAUGUAGUUGAUGAAGACGUUCUGGAGCAGGACCAGAAAGACCACGACCAAGCAGCCUUGAGAUCUUAGACAGCGUCUCCCUCAGUUCAAAGGUCCCUCUCUAUCUCCCUACACAUCCACCAACCACUGGAACACAUCUCCAAAGUUCUGCUGGGCCAGCUCAGCUUCCCCUCAGAAGAAGUGCUGCCACCUGCCAGAUGAAGGAGCCUUUUGAGAGGCAGCUGGCAUCGUGAUUGGACUGUACUUUGGUCUGUUCCAAUCCAGCUUCAGCUCCAGAGACGGCAGGCGGGACGAGUCAACGGAGGCCGGGUGGAUGAAGACAUGCAGCUGAGUACAAUCCAGAAAACAACAGAGGAGGAGUGCAGCAGCCCAGAGCCAGAACAACCAGAGUAGCAUCGUAUGUCCCUUAGAAAACAUCAUAGUUUAGCCUUUGGUAUGAAAAAACACCAUCAUAUACAUCGUAUAUUGUACAAAUAACAAGUCAAAGGAAAGAGACAUACAUUGUAGAAUUGUAGUAAUUGUGGGCUGACUGAUUUACUGAUUAUCAGUAUUUUAUUUUUUACUGAUUUACGGUAAUAAAUCAGUUUAAGAAUGGUG
Amphiprion ocellaris (clown anemonefish) is the source of this 831-nucleotide long non-coding RNA. RefSeq lists it as uncharacterized. NCBI's taxonomy places the organism in Eukaryota, Metazoa, Chordata, Actinopteri, Pomacentridae. The transcript is spliced from 3 exons. The record is from RefSeq and is a predicted model, not a curated record.